GAUGAACGCUGGCGGCGUGCCUAAUACAUGCAAGUCGAGCGAACAGACGAGGAGCUUGCUCCUCUGACGUUAGCGGCGGACGGGUGAGUAACACGUGGAUAACCUACCUAUAAGACUGGGAUAACUUCGGGAAACCGGAGCUAAUACCGGAUAAUAUAUUGAACCGCAUGGUUCAAUAGUGAAAGACGGUUUUGCUGUCACUUAUAGAUGGAUCCGCGCCGCAUUAGCUAGUUGGUAAGGUAACGGCUUACCAAGGCAACGAUGCGUAGCCGACCUGAGAGGGUGAUCGGCCACACUGGAACUGAGACACGGUCCAGACUCCUACGGGAGGCAGCAGUAGGGAAUCUUCCGCAAUGGGCGAAAGCCUGACGGAGCAACGCCGCGUGGGUGAUGAAGGUCUUCGGAUCGUAAAACUCUGUUAUUAGGGAAGAACAGAUGUGUAAGUAACUAUGCACGUCUUGACGGUACCUAAUCAGAAAGCCACGGCUAACUACGUG
RNAcentral lists this ribosomal RNA (497 nucleotides) under uncultured bacterium. RNAcentral's name for it is "partial 16S ribosomal RNA". It matches the Rfam family "Bacterial small subunit ribosomal RNA", at positions 28 to 507 of the family's 1533-position model. The record is from RNAcentral.